Molecule: ribosomal RNA, 253 nt
Filed under: uncultured bacterium
Lineage: Bacteria
Description: partial 16S ribosomal RNA
Rfam family: Bacterial small subunit ribosomal RNA
Source: RNAcentral
UACGUAGGUGGCAAGCGUUAUCCGGAAUUACUGGGCGUAAAGCGCACGCAGGCGGUUUUUUAAGUUUGACGUGAAAGCUCUCGGCUUAACUGGGAGAGGUCGUUGAAAACUGAAAGACUUGAGGAAAUGAGAGGGGUGUAGAAUUCCCGGUGUAGUGGUGGAAUGCGUAGAUAUCGGGGGGAAUACCAGUGGCGAAAGCGGCGCCCUAGCAUUUUACUGACGCUCAUGUGCGAAAGCGUGGGGAGCGAACGGG